GGGAAAGCGGGAGGGAGUAAGACCACAUGCAAGUCGAACGGCAGCACAGUAAGAGCUUGCUCUUACGGGUGGCGAGUGGCGGACGGGUGAGGAAUACAUCGGAAUCUACUUUUUCGUGGGGGAUAACGUAGGGAAACUUACGCUAAUACCGCAUACGACCUACGGGUGAAAGCAGGGGAUCUUCGGACCUUGCGCGAUUGAAUGAGCCGAUGUCGGAUUAGCUAGUUGGCGGGGUAAAGGCCCACCAAGGCGACGAUCCGUAGCUGGUCUGAGAGGAUGAUCAGCCACACUGGAACUGAGACACGGUCCAGACUCCUACGGGAGGCAGCAGUGGGGAAUAUUGGACAAUGGGCGCAAGCCUGAUCCAGCCAUACCGCGUGGGUGAAGAAGGCCUUCGGGUUGUAAAGCCCUUUUGUUGGGAAAGAAAAGCAGCAGGUUAAUACCCCGCUGUUCUGACGGUACCCAAAGAAUAAGCACCGGCUAACUUCGUG
This 491-nucleotide ribosomal RNA is filed under the name uncultured bacterium. RNAcentral's name for it is "partial 16S ribosomal RNA". It matches the Rfam family "Bacterial small subunit ribosomal RNA", at positions 39 to 507 of the family's 1533-position model. The record is from RNAcentral.